UCCCUACAACAUUCAGACCACUA
Molecule: non-coding RNA, 23 nt
Filed under: Arabidopsis thaliana (thale cress)
Lineage: Eukaryota; Viridiplantae; Streptophyta; Magnoliopsida; Brassicales; Brassicaceae
Source: RNAcentral